RNAcentral lists this unclassified non-coding RNA (118 nucleotides) under uncultured fungus. RNAcentral's name for it is "sequence contains ITS1". Lineage: Eukaryota; Fungi. The record is from RNAcentral.
AUACAUUACUUUAGUUCAGACAAUGCCGAGUGAUUUGGUGUGUUUGUGAACUACUAGGGUCGAGACCCAAGUCUACUUUUUCUCUGAAAUGAUCCUUCCGCAGGUUCACCUACGGAAA